RNAcentral lists this ribosomal RNA (497 nucleotides) under uncultured bacterium. Its description in RNAcentral is "partial 16S ribosomal RNA". It matches the Rfam family "Bacterial small subunit ribosomal RNA", at positions 28 to 507 of the family's 1533-position model. The record is from RNAcentral.
GAUGAACGCUGGCGGCGUGCCUAAUACAUGCAAGUCGAGCGAACAGACGAGGAGCUUGCUCCUCUGACGUUAGCGGCGGACGGGUGAGUAACACGUGGAUAACCUACCUAUAAGACUGGGAUAACUUCGGGAAACCGGAGCUAAUACCGGAUAAUAUAUUGAACCGCAUGGUUCAAUAGUGAAAGACGGUUUUGCUGUCACUUAUAGAUGGAUCCGCGCCGCAUUAGCUAGUUGGUAAGGUAACGGCUUACCAAGGCAACGAUGCGUAGCCGACCUGAGAGGGUGAUCGGCGACACUGGAACUGAGACACGGUCCAGACUCAUACGGGAGGCAGCAGUAGGGAAUCUUACGCAAUGGGCGAAAGCCUGACGGAGCAACGCCGCGUGAGUGAUGAAGGUCUUCGGAUCGUAAAACUCUGUUAUUAGGGAAGAACAAAUGUGUAAGUAACUUUGCACGUCUUGACGGUACCUAAUCAGAAAGCCACGGCUAACUACGUG